UUCACGCUUUAAACGUUAAUCUUUCGGCCGCGACGAUUUUCUAAUUCUAAGCAAAUCAGCAUGGGUAGAUCUAAAAGCGACAAGAAAUCAAGGCGAAGUAGAUCAAGAUCAAGAGAAAGACGUAAAGACUAUUCAAGGCAUAGGAAAAGAAGUGUAACAGAAAGCAGUGACAGUGAGGAAGAGAGACGGCGACACAAGAAGCAAAAGAGCUACAGGUCCCAGUCUGGAUCCACACCAGAUAGCAGCAACAGCGAGGAUGAGAGUCGACGGCGACACAAGAAGCAAAAGGAAUACAAGUCAAGGUCUAGGUCCACACCAGAGAGCAAUGACAGUGAGGAAGAGAGACGGCGACACAAGAAGCAAAAGAGCUACAGGUCCCAGUCUAGAUCCACACCAGAUAGCAGCAACAGCGAGGAUGAGAGUCGACGGCGACACAAGAAGCAAAAGGAAUACAAGUCAAGGUCUAGGUCCACACCAGAGAGCAGUGACAGUGAGGAAGAUAGACGGCGACACAAGAAGCAAAAGAAGCACAGAUCAAGGUCUAGAUCCAGAUCAGAGUCCAGGUCUAGAAGCAAGUAUGAAGAGAGAGAUCGCCAUCACAGCCAUAAGCACAAAAAGAGAAGGUCUCGCAGCAGGACAAGAUCUCGCUCUCCUAUAAAACAACCUGAUGUCAGACCGAAGACUGUUGUUGAUGAAAAGAUGAAGAAAUCAGUGAUGAAAGCCACAGAGACAAUGGAAGAGAAGAGGCUGAGACGAAUGGCCAAGAAACAGCUGAAAGACAGGAAGAGGAAAGAACAGAUGGGAUGGGAUGAAGAGAUGAUGGGCUAUACCAAUGAAGAUAACCCUUUUGGAGAUCCUAAUCUAUUGGACACAUUUGUGUGGGUUAAGAAAAAUGAGAAACUGGGCAUCACAGAUGUUGAACCAGACCAGAUGAAGAGACUUGUUAAAAAGAAACAGAUUGAGAACAGGCUGGAGCUUCAGAAAGUGAAACAGAGAAGAAUAGAGAGAGAGAAGGAGAGAGAACAGAGAGACAAAGAACUGGAAGAGUUACAGAGAGCAAGAGAAGCUGAUUAUUACAAGGAAUGGGAGAGACAGGAAGACCAUUUCCAUUUAAAUCAAGCUAAACUAAGGUCUAAGGUCAGAAUCAAAGAUGGCAGAGGCAAACCCAUUGAUCUGCUAGGACAGUACAUCAGUGCUGAAGAUGAUGAAGAUAUCUCUGUUGAGAUGCAGGAACCGUAUAAUGUCCUCAAGGGCUUGACCAUCCCUGAUCUAGAAGAUUUGAUGGAAGACAUCAAGGUGUACGUGGAGCUGGAGCAAGGAAAGAAUGUGGAAUUUUGGAAAGAUAUCACAGUCAUCGCUGAAGAUGAACUUAAUAAACUCAAGAAGAUCACUCCAGAAGGACAGGAGGUUUCUGACCGACGAGAAGGAAUCAAUUCAUCAGUCAGCUCUGAUGUUGCCAACGUGUUUAAGAACAAGACUCAUGUUCAGCUUCUGGCUCUAAAAAGUCAAAUCGUCCAGAGGAUACAGAGUGGCAACGCAGUCGAUAUCGGUUACUGGGAGUCAUUACAGCAGCAGUUAGAUGCACACAUGGCCAGAGCUAGACUAAGGGAACUUCAUCAGGAGAAAUUGAGAAAUAAAUUAGCUGCUCUCAGACAACAGCAAGGAGUAGAAGCAGCACCCCUCUUCCCUUCGGCGGAGUCUACGUCAGCCGGUUGGGACCCCACCGAACAAAAAGAGAAGCCAUUGACAGAGAGCGCUGAGAUAGACAUUCCCUCCGAGGAUGAUGAAGAAGAGGAAGAGAAGAAAGAAGAUGAAGCAAAGCCUGGUUCAUCGGCAGAUGUAGAGGGCGCUGUAGGAGGCGAAGAAGGAGCAGUGGGCGGAGCUGCAGCAGAAGAAGAGCCAGAGUCCAUUUUGACUGAAGAGGAUCUUGCAGAGGAGAGCUAUGUGGAGUACAUCCAAGGUAACUACAGCCCCAGGCUCCUGGAGCAGAAGGACCUCUCUAUAGAGAUAUUUGUGCAGGAUCCGGACGAGGAUAAAUUCAAGCUGGAGACGGCAAGGAAACAUCUUAUCAGUACAGGAUCAGCGGAGACUGAUGCUGAGACAGAAUUUAUCAAGAAAGCCAAGCAAGAAAUGGGUAAAGACGAAUCAACCUUUGCCGUGGAGGUCAACUUGGAACAAAAGCCAUACAUGUGGUCUGACAAGUACAGACCUCGUAAGCCCAGAUUCUUCAACCGUGUGCACACUGGCUUUGAGUGGAACAAGUACAACCAGACUCAUUACGACAUGGACAAUCCACCCCCAAAGAUUGUACAAGGGUACAAGUUUAAUAUAUUCUUUCCUGACCUCAUUGACAAGAGGAAAACUCCAGAGUACACGUUAACACCAAUCGCUCAAACACCUGACUUUGGCAUUCUAACAUUCCAUGCAGGCCCACCUUAUGAGGACAUAGCCUUCAAGAUCGUAAAUCGUGAAUGGGAGUACUCUCAUCGCCAUGGUUUCCGAUGUCAGUUCAGCAAUAGUAUCUUCCAGUUAUGGUUCCGAUUCAAGAGAUACAGAUACAGGAGAUGAAGACACAGACUCAAGCUGGUUAGCUCAAGAGAAUGAAGACCUGAACUCUAGCUAUUUGAAAACCAUGUUCCAAUGGGGAUCCCUUGUAGAAUGGCUUGAUGAAGCAAGACAGGUGAUCAUUUCAUAAGAAACUUCUGGAUCUCAAUGUUGUACAGGAAGGUGAAGACUUAUUCAAGCUGCACUGUCAGAGCCAAGGAGGUCAACACGAGGAAUUCACCUUGCGAAUGGAUUUCUGGGCACCCUUUCAUGAAGCUUAUCAGCAACGAGUUAUCAUUCUCUGUCAGUUAGCAUUGUAGCAAUUAUAGAUCAGUGUGUCUCAGCAAAUCAAAACCAAGGAUACACUGAAUUUCUCAAGAGCUGGCAAUCUAGUCAAUGCUGAUAACUUUAAGGUAACACUCCGGGGCUCAGCUGCAGCAGUAUGAGCAGCUCCGAUCAUGUCAAUCCACCUUUCAGGUUGUUAAAGACUAUUUGUAACAAGUUUUAAGUAUAAAUGCAGAUGAGGUUGGUUAAAGGCCACCACACACACCUUACGAUUGGUCCAAUCUGAUUUUGGAACAAAUCGCAUUUUUCUCAUUUUCUGAUAUGUGAAUGAAGAGUAUCUUUUUGAGGUUCAAAUUAACCAAAAGAAUAUUAAUAUAACAAUUGUUUUUAAUGAUAGCAAGCCUUUAUUUUGGCGCAAAGGCCAAAUUAGUUACAAAUCAUAGCUAAUGGUACGAUUGCUACGACAUCAUUAAGAGUAUGACUAGAUAUUAAAUUUUCUUUUAUAUUAAGGAUAGCAUCGUCACAGAUUUGAACAUAGGUAUUCGCACAAUGAUUUAGAACACUGCGCCGUAAGAUAUGCCAUGUUUAAAUAUUAGCAUCAAAUUCUACUGCAUUUUAUUCCAAAAUCGGGUUGCAGAACAAUCGUAAGGUCUGCGGUGGCCUUAAGAGAAGGAAAAGUAAUCCUUUAAAAAUAAUAGGUAUAAGCUCAGCCUUUCCAAGACUGACAGCCUAUCUAUUCAUUUUUGUAUACACUCAUAUGCUUUUCACAUUGCAUUUCCUUAAACUUAUACUAUCCUUAACCCCAUA
Molecule: unclassified non-coding RNA, 3636 nt
Filed under: Lytechinus variegatus (green sea urchin)
Lineage: Eukaryota; Metazoa; Echinodermata; Echinoidea; Temnopleuroida; Toxopneustidae
Description: cactin-like, transcript variant X2
Source: RNAcentral